GCUGUCUUUACCUGUCCUGCUUUAUUCAUGCAUGCAACCUGUCAGGCACUUAAGUGGAGCCAGGCCAGGGCUAGGGUGGCUCAAGCCCCGCCAGUUUUCCUGCAGCCAUUGAAUCCAGGCCAUAUGUGCCCUCUCAGAAAGGAUGCUGAGUUCAGGAGGCUGUGCAAGCCUCAGCCAAAGCCAGCAGGCAGGAGUGCUUCUCUCAGCUCUUGAAGGAUGAGGAGGUAAGUACAGUGUCUGCUCGUCUAUCUUCCUUUUCACUUUGUGUAUGUUCUGAGAUCCCAUCUGGCCGGUCACUUACUCAGCAGGGUGGGCUGGUGGGGACCCAGCUGGUAUGAGCUUUUGGUUGACGAGCCUAAUGUCAAGAGUUCGACACCUGCAGUGAAAAGUACACAGACUUUACAGUCAGACACAUCUGAGUCAAAUCCUGGCUUCUACCAUGUUCUUGUUGUGUCACUCUAGCCAAAUCAGUUUAUUCUCUGGACCUCAGUCCUCUCAUCUGUAAAAUGGACCCACAAUUACUACUUCUGCAGAUUGUGACUGUUCAUUGAAAUAAUACAUGUAAAGUAUUUU
Molecule: long non-coding RNA, 573 nt
Filed under: Vulpes vulpes (red fox)
Lineage: Eukaryota; Metazoa; Chordata; Mammalia; Carnivora; Canidae
Description: lncRNA (ENSVVUG00000017289.1)
Source: RNAcentral